Molecule: non-coding RNA, 233 nt
Organism: Penaeus vannamei (Pacific white shrimp)
Lineage: Eukaryota; Metazoa; Arthropoda; Malacostraca; Decapoda; Penaeidae
Source: RefSeq, a predicted model, not a curated record
UUCCCAUGUCAAACGGCGCGCGGCCUUCCGCUGAGCAUUGUGGUCUGCCAGAAGACGCGGCCAGAAGCCGCGGCCAGAAGACGCGGGGUGUGGGCCAAUGGGAGCGCAGGGCGGCCGGCGGCAGCAGGCACGCAGCGGGACUCGGGAGCGGUGACAGGCUAUUGCUCGGCGCUCCCUCGGCCAGAACACUCCUACCGCUCCCUCACACAAUACCGCCAGAAUGUCAUCAGGCU